AAACCGUCUGCCAAACCAACACAACAUUCAAAAUUGAAAUCCAACACCUACAGAACCUUUACUUCAUACAGUCAACACGGAUCCAGGAAAAUACAAAAAUGAAGCAGAAAACUAACGUUUAAAAUCAACGAUGAUACGGGGAACUAUGACGAGGCACAAGCAAACCGUAGCAAUAUAAAUCAAACAAACAGAAAACGAACUCAAACAAAUCGGUGAUGCAAUAAUCAAAAUAAACAUUUGAAAACCCCCAUCCCAAACAGUCUCGUACCCCAUUUCAUUUUCAUUCAUAGUCCAUUAUUUUACAUAUACAAGGCGAAAUGAGAUCAACGACGAGAGUUAGCAGUGCAAAAAGGAAGAAGAGAGAAAAAAACUACCCAAGUGAAUAGUGGCUUGCCGAGUUUAAUAAGAUUUUCUUGCUCAGUGGACAUGGUUGAAGGAUGACUUUAAGAAGAAAAUGGAUAUAUGAACAAAUUGUUUAAUGGUCUACCUUGGUGGUGAAGGAGAGAAAUGGCUAUGGAAUUAUUUGAGAUUUUGAAGUGAUUUAGGGUUUAAGAGUUAGGUCUGAGGCACCCUUUUUUAUUCAAAUUGUAACACAAGCUUAAAUUUUUCAAACUUGAAUUAC
Molecule: long non-coding RNA, 622 nt
Organism: Lathyrus oleraceus (garden pea)
Lineage: Eukaryota; Viridiplantae; Streptophyta; Magnoliopsida; Fabales; Fabaceae
Exons: 2
Source: RefSeq, a predicted model, not a curated record